This 253-nucleotide ribosomal RNA is filed under the name uncultured bacterium. Its description in RNAcentral is "partial 16S ribosomal RNA". It matches the Rfam family "Bacterial small subunit ribosomal RNA", at positions 524 to 776 of the family's 1533-position model. The record is from RNAcentral.
UACGAAGGGGGCUAGCGUUGCUCGGAAUUACUGGGCGUAAAGGGAGCGUAGGCGGACAUUUAAGUCAGGGGUGAAAUCCCAGAGCUCAACUCUGGAACUGCCUUUGAUACUGGGUGUCUUGAGUGUGAGAGAGGUAUGUGGAACUCCGAGUGUAGAGGUGAAAUUCGUAGAUAUUCGGAAGAACACCAGUGGCGAAGGCGACAUACUGGCUCAUUACUGACGCUGAGGAGCGAAAGCGUGGGGAGCGAACAGG